AUGCCCUCCCGGAGGCGCGGACGGGCUGACAGACGCGGCCCUGCGGGCUCCAGGCUCCCAAACCCCGGCUGAGGCCGCUGAUUCCAGCUGUGUUACCGUCGGGUUGGUGCGCAGUGCUGCGAUAGAUCCUUCGGAAUUGCUCUGGCAGAUGAGAUCCAGCUACUUCCGUAUUCUCCCUUAGAGGCUCCAGAGGAAGGUGUGAGGUUGAUCAGCUUACACAACAGCGCAGCAGUGUGAGCUGUGCCUUGAUGGACAAGAGCAACACAGACUGCUCUGUGAGGACUGCUUUCCUGGAACAGCAGCAGCAGUGCACUGUCAGACCAAAGCUUUUCUCCUGUGAUGCAACAUUUCUAAGAAGUUCCUUUCGCCUCUCGGAUGGGAGCAGCCAGUCAUUCACUCCAACUCUUAAUUGCUGCUCUGCAAAAUCCCCAAAAGGAAUGUAACAACUUGUUUCUCACUGUGAAAAUGGGAGGUUCUCCACUGCAAGCUUUAAGCCUUCGGCUGAAUACCUGCUGAACAUCUGGCUUGGGAUCAAGGUUUGCUUUUAUGGUUGUCCAUGCCCUGCUACAACGGGUGGACACAUUGCUAGAUUAAUACUACCAACAGAAGCGGGGUGGAUAGACUCCCUUCCUUCCUCCUCUUACCCCCAGUAAAUGCAGCAGCUGCAGCCUGACAGAAC
This is a long non-coding RNA of Gallus gallus (chicken), 679 nucleotides long. NCBI's taxonomy places the organism in Eukaryota, Metazoa, Chordata, Aves, Galliformes, Phasianidae. The record is from Ensembl.